CCUACGGGAGGCAGCAGUGGGGAAUAUUGCACAAUGGGGGAAACCCUGAUGCAGCGACGCAGCGUGAGUGAAGAAGUAAUUCGUUAUGUAAAGCUCUAUCAGCAGGGAAGAAAAUGACGGUACCUGAGUAAGAAGCCCCGGCUAACUACGUGCCAGCAGCCGCGGUAAUACGUAGGGGGCAAGCGUUAUCCGGAUUUACUGGGGGGAAAGGGAGCGUAGACGGCAGUGCAAGUCUGGAGUGAAAGGCGGGGGCUCAACCCCCGGACUGCUCUGGAAACUGUACGGCUGGAGUGCAGGAGAGGUAAGUGGAAUUCCUAGUGUAGCGGUGAAAUGCGUAGAUAUUAGGAGGAACACCAGUGGCGAAGGCGACUUACUGGACUGUAACUGACGUUGAGGCUCGAAAGCGUGGGGAGCAAACAGGAUUAGAUACCCGGGUAGUC
This 440-nucleotide ribosomal RNA is filed under the name uncultured bacterium. Its description in RNAcentral is "partial 16S ribosomal RNA". It matches the Rfam family "Bacterial small subunit ribosomal RNA", at positions 338 to 795 of the family's 1533-position model. The record is from RNAcentral.